This 406-nucleotide ribosomal RNA is filed under the name uncultured bacterium. Its description in RNAcentral is "partial 16S ribosomal RNA". It matches the Rfam family "Bacterial small subunit ribosomal RNA", at positions 30 to 526 of the family's 1533-position model. The record is from RNAcentral.
AUUGAACGCUGGCGGCAGGCCUAACACAUGCAAGUCGAACGAGUGGCGGACGGGUGAGUAAUGUCUGGGAAACUGCCUGAUGGAGGGGGAUAACUACUGGAAACGGUAGCUAAUACCGCAUACCAUCGGAUGUGCCCAGAUGGGAUUCGCUUGUUGGGGGGUUAACGGCUCACCAAGGCGACGAUCCCUAGCUGGUCUGAGAGGAUGACCAGCCAAACUGGAACUGAGACACGGUCCAGAGUCCUACGGGAGGCAGCAGUGGGGAAUAUUGCACAAUGGGCGCAAGCCUGAUGCAGCCAUGCCGCGUGUAUGAAGAAGGCCUUCGGGUUGUAAAGUACUUUCAGCGUGGAGGCGUUACUCGCAGAAGAAGCACCGGCUAACUCCGUGCCAGCAGCCGCGGUAAUAC